GGAGUUUACUGUUUAUGUUUCUAGAAAUUUCGCGCUUCUCCUCAAAAUCAUUUUCUCUCUCUGCUCUGCUUUUUUUUUCUUCUUCUCCAUUUUUGGGAGCAAUUUCACGACGAAAACUCGAAGCAGACAAAUAUUUGAACUUUACUUUUGCACUUUUCUCUUCCCAUUUUUCUUUUUCUUUUUCUGGUUUCAGAAAGUUUUGAGGAUUUGUAAUAUUUUUUCUGCUCUGUUUUGCGGCGCUUUCAGAAUGCAAUUAUAUUGGUGAAAGGCGCUGGAAGCUUUUUUGUUUGCAUUGAAGAUUGACAUGACCGGAGCUAAUCGCAAUGAAAACUUGGUGAAGUUGAAACAAAGUUGGUGAACUGUUGUAUUACAAAGUGGCAAAAGUGAUGGCUUCUGUGCUGGCUUCUCUGUUUCCAAAACUGGGAUCUUUGGGUACUUCAGAUCAUGCUUCUGUUGCAUCUAUCAACCUCUUUGUGGCACUCCUUUGUGCUUGCAUUAUCAUUGGUCAUCUCUUGGAGGAGAACCGCUGGGUUAAUGAGUCCAUUACUGCCCUCAUAAUUGGUUUGGGUACAGGAGUGGUUAUCUUGCUUGUAAGUGGUGGAAAGAGCUCACACCUUUUGGUUUUCAGUGAAGAUCUCUUUUUCAUAUAUCUACUUCCUCCAAUCAUAUUUAAUGCAGGGUUCCAGGUAAAAAAGAAGCAAUUUUUCGUGAACUUCAUGACUAUAAUGCUGUUCGGAGCCAUUGGUACCCUGGUCUCAUGUGCCAUUAUAUCAUUAGGUGCCAUUCAAACUUUCAAGAAGUUGGACAUUGAAUUCCUAGAUAUUGGGGAUUAUCUUGCAAUUGGAGCAAUAUUUGCUGCCACAGAUUCCGUCUGCACAUUGCAGGUCCUACAUCAGGAUGAGACACCCCUCCUUUACAGUCUUGUAUUUGGAGAAGGAGUUGUAAAUGAUGCUACAUCGGUGGUGCUUUUCAAUGCUAUUCAAAACGUUGACCUUACGAGCUUGAAUCCCAGUAUAGCCCUCAGUUUCCUUGGCAACUUCUUCUAUCUGUUCCUUGCUAGCACUUUACUGGGAGCAGGAACUGGUCUUCUUAGUGCUUACAUUAUCAAGAAGCUGUAUUUUGGCAGGCACUCCACAGAUCGUGAGGUUGCCCUUAUGAUGCUCAUGGCUUAUUUAUCAUACAUGCUGGCCGAACUAUUCUAUUUGAGUGGGAUUCUCACCGUAUUUUUCUGUGGUAUUGUGAUGUCUCAUUACACUUGGCACAAUGUGACCGAGAGUUCAAGAGUCACUACAAGGCACACUUUUGCAACUUUGUCAUUUCUUGCAGAGACUUUCCUCUUCCUCUAUGUGGGCAUGGAUGCUUUGGAUAUCGAGAAGUGGAAAUUUGUUGGUGACAGGCCUGGAUUAUCAAUUUCCGCGAGUUCGAUACUGAUGGGACUAAUCUUGCUGGGGAGAGCUGCUUUUGUUUUUCCAUUAUCAUACUUAUCCAACUUAAUGAAGAAAUCCUCGGAAGAAAAAAUUACCUUUAGGCAGCAAGUGAUAAUAUGGUGGGCAGGUUUGAUGAGAGGCGCAGUGUCCAUGGCACUGGCAUAUAAUAAGUUCACUCAUGGGGGACACACUCAACUGCAGGACAAUGCAAUAAUGAUUACCAGCACGAUAACCAUUGUUCUAUUCAGCACAAUGGUAUUUGGUCUAAUGACAAAACCCCUUAUAAGUCUCCUGCUGCCACCACAGAGGCAAUUGAGUACAGUGUCAUCAGGUGCAAAUACUCCUAAGUCUCUAACAGCCCCACUCCUAGGCAGUCGAGAGGACUCUGAAGGUGAUUUAAAUGUCCCAGAUCUUCCUCACCCACCAAGUUUGAGGAUGCUACUUACCGCACCAAGUCAUAAAGUGCAUCGGUACUGGCGCAAGUUUGACGAUGCAUUCAUGCGCCCUAUGUUUGGUGGUCGGGGAUUUGCUCCUCCUGCUCCUCGUUCUCCAACGGAACACGGUCCAUGAUGUGCACUAGAAAAAUGAAAUUGAUGUAAAAAAGGAAGUCGCCAAGGGACGUCCAGGGAAUCCUAAAGAUUCUGUGUACACAAUUGCUGACAGCUUCACCCAGCAAAAUCCCCUCAUUUGCAGUGGUGGAUUUACGAAACGGUGAAGCUCUGGCUGACAACGGCGAGUAUGUAAGUUAAUCCUGAAAAUGGCAAUAUCUCUAUUCAAACUUAUUGUAAAUUUUGGCUGCUUAAAUGUUGCCAUCUUCUUUUUGCGUGGUGUGGUAUUUAUAUAUAUCCCAUUUGUAAUGUUUUAUGAAGUUGAGAAAGAAAUAAUUGUCAUAGAGUCAUUUUCAUUUCCAUAGUAUCGACAUGAGAUUGAUACUUC
Molecule: RNA transcript, 2363 nt
Organism: Solanum lycopersicum (tomato)
Lineage: Eukaryota; Viridiplantae; Streptophyta; Magnoliopsida; Solanales; Solanaceae
Gene: nhx4
Gene name: (Sodium/potassium)/proton exchanger 4
Source: RefSeq, marked validated